GUGGAUUAGAUACCCGGGUAGUCCUAGCCGUAAACGAUGUAGACUUGGCGUCAGCGGGUUUAAAUCCGUUGGUGCCGAAGCAAACGCGAUAAGUCUACCACCUGGGGACUACGGCCGCAAGGUUAAAACUCAAAGGAAUUGACGGGGGCCCGCACAAGCAGCGGAGCGUGUGGUUUAAUUCGAUGUUACACGAAGAACCUUACCAGGGUUUGACAUGCAAGUGGUAGGGAAGCGAAAGCAGACCGACCCUUCGGGGAGCUUGCACAGGUGCUGCACGGUCGUCGCCAGCU
Molecule: ribosomal RNA, 290 nt
Filed under: uncultured bacterium
Lineage: Bacteria
Description: partial 16S ribosomal RNA
Rfam family: Bacterial small subunit ribosomal RNA
Source: RNAcentral